RNAcentral lists this ribosomal RNA (427 nucleotides) under uncultured beta proteobacterium. Its description in RNAcentral is "bacterial SSU rRNA". It matches the Rfam family "Bacterial small subunit ribosomal RNA", at positions 355 to 774 of the family's 1533-position model. Lineage: Bacteria; Pseudomonadati; Pseudomonadota; Betaproteobacteria. The record is from RNAcentral.
UGGGGAAUAUUGGACAAUGGGCGCAAGCCUGAUCCAGCCAUGCCGCGUGAGUGAUGAAGGCCUUAGGGUUGUAAAGCUCUUUUAGUCGGAAAGAAAGAGUUGCAAUGAAUAAUUGUGAUUUAUGACGGUACCGACAGAAAAAGCACCGGCUAACUACGUGCCAGCAGCCGCGGUAAUACGUAGGGUGCGAGCGUUAAUCGGAAUUACUGGGCGUAAAGGGUGCGCAGGCGGUCUUGCAAGUCAGAUGUGAAAGCCCCGGGCUUAACCUGGGAAUUGCGUUUGAAACUACAAGACUAGAGUGCAGCAGAGGGGAGUGGAAUUCCAUGUGUAGCAGUGAAAUGCGUAGAGAUGUGGAAGAACACCGAUGGCGAAGGCAGCUCCCUGGGUUGACACUGACGCUCAUGCACGAAAGCGUGGGGAGCAAACA